AUGUUUACAAUGCUUGUUGGUUUGUGCGGUGCAGGACAGAAACUUUGGCUGUACUGUGUGAUUUUACAUUUUUUACUGCAACGUCAAAUGGUUCUUAUUGUUUUUGCACUGUCUUUCUAUACAAAUUUUUUAUUUUUCCUAAUUUUGGUAGAAUUUUUGGAGUACCAGAGGUAUGGUGAAUGUUCAGAUUGUUACAGACUGUUCUGUUUUAGACAGAUUCUGUUUUUGAUGCAUAUUUUGCUUGUUUUGAUGAAACUAUCAAUUUAUAUCAGUGGAUUAAGCCAUGGAAAAGUUAUAUUACAGUAG
RNAcentral lists this ribosomal RNA (306 nucleotides) under Triticum aestivum (bread wheat). RNAcentral describes it as "partial small subunit ribosomal RNA". The record is from RNAcentral. Lineage: Eukaryota; Viridiplantae; Streptophyta; Magnoliopsida; Poales; Poaceae.